Molecule: ribosomal RNA, 492 nt
Filed under: uncultured bacterium
Lineage: Bacteria
Description: partial 16S ribosomal RNA
Rfam family: Bacterial small subunit ribosomal RNA
Source: RNAcentral
AGUGAACGCUGGCGGUAGGCCUAACACAUGCAAGUCGAACGGCCGCACAGUAAGAGCGUGCUCUUAUGGGUGGCGAGUGGCGGACGGGUGAGGAAUACCUCGCACUCUACUUUUACUUGGGCGAUAACGACGGGAAACUGACGCUAAUACAUCAUACGACCUACGGCUGAAAGCAGGGGCCAUUCGGCCCUUGCGCGAGUGAAUGAGCCGAUGCCCGUUUAGCUAGUUGGCGCGGUAAACGCCCACCAAGGCGACGAUCCGUAGCUGAUCUGAGAGGAUGAUCAGCCCCACUGGCACUGGGACACGCUCCAGACCCCUGCGGGAGGCAGCAGUGGGGAAUUUUGGACAAUGGGCGCAAGCCUGCUCCAGCCCUACCGCGUGGGUGAAGAAGGCCUUCGGGUUGUAAAGCCCUUUUGUUGGGACAGACACGCAGCAGGUUAGUACCUCGCCGUUCUCACGGUACCCAGAGAAUAAGCACCCGCUACCUUCGUG